UCUGCUUGAGUUGAAUCUAUAGGCUCAUGUUGAUUCACCUCUUGAGUUGGGUUUGCUUCUACUUGAGUAGACAUUGCUAUACAAAGCAAAAAAAAUAAAUAAAAAUAAUUUCAAUAUCAAGCAGUGACAACAACAUACAUUUAGACUUUGAUCACACAAACAAAAUAUUUCAAGUAAAAGUGAAUCAACAUUAGUGGUUAAUCCAACGGUUAGAAACAAUCAGUGCAGUUGUUCUUACCGCGACAACUCUUUGCAUAGUUAUGAGCCCCCCUGGAACUUUCACCUCAGGUGAAAAUUUGGUCAUUAUUUUAUCUAAAAUGUCANNNNNNNNNNNNNNNNNNNNNNNNNNNNNNNNNNNNNNUAUCUUAUGGCCUUUCACUAAACAAUUCCUUAAUAUAUUCAAUUAAAAAUCAAUGCACUCUUGCAAAUCACAUAAUAUCAGUGGAGAGGCUAAAUCAAUAUAUGCAUAUAGAAAGUGAGGCCGAAGAAAUAAUAGAAGGAAAUCGCCCUCCUCUGUAUUGGCCAGUUGCAAAAAAAAAUUAAAAUUGUCUAGGUUUUGCGAAAAAAAAACUAACAACAAGAACAAAAAUUGUUUCAGUUUAUAAAGAGACAGAGAGAGAUGGAACCUGAGAGAGAGGCCUGACGGAGAGAGUGAGAGACGACGGUGUGAUAGAGACGGCUGCUCAAGAGAAUGAGAGAUGGAAUGGAGGUAGGGUUUCUAUUUCUAAUGUAUAUGCGUGAAAUCUAAAAACAAAUAUAUUU
This 762-nucleotide long non-coding RNA is filed under the name Trifolium pratense (red clover). RNAcentral's name for it is "long non-coding RNA (TPRA_LNC001022)". Lineage: Eukaryota; Viridiplantae; Streptophyta; Magnoliopsida; Fabales; Fabaceae. The record is from RNAcentral.